GAUCCGUGCGUCUAGGGUGUGUUCAUAUAGUGUUGUCGCGUGAUGUUUACCCAAAGAAAACUGUAAUGAGACAUUCACAGAAAGGACGUUACUAAGGAUGGUACGAUACUAAGCUUACAAAUCAUGAACGAGAAGCCCCCGUACCUUACUAAGAAAGUGUGUAGUGUACAUGGUGGCAGCAAGUCAAGGAAUAUUUUACGGAAUUGGUUAAAAAAAUUUGUUUCAAAGGCCCAGUCAAAUCUUUACAAGUUUACUCGUAGAGCAACUUACGCUGUUCCUACGUGACACAAGAUACCCCUCAGCAGCUUUACAAGGUCAGUCAAAUAAGUGUCACAGCGACAAUCCCUUGGGAAAUAAAGACGUAGUUGGUUGACAGGUGUUGACCACUAAGAAAGAU
This is a long non-coding RNA of Schistocerca serialis cubense, 397 nucleotides long. RefSeq lists it as uncharacterized. Lineage: Eukaryota; Metazoa; Arthropoda; Insecta; Orthoptera; Acrididae. The transcript has 3 exons. The record is from RefSeq and is a predicted model, not a curated record.